This 242-nucleotide ribosomal RNA is filed under the name uncultured bacterium. RNAcentral's name for it is "partial 16S ribosomal RNA". It matches the Rfam family "Bacterial small subunit ribosomal RNA", at positions 29 to 302 of the family's 1533-position model. The record is from RNAcentral.
AGCGAACGCUGGCGGCAGGCCUAAUACAUGCAAGUCGAGCGCACCUUCGGGUGAGCGGCGGACGGGUGAGUAACUCGUGGGAAUGUGCCCUUUGGUACGGAACAACUGAGGGAAACUUCAGCUAAUACCGUAUGUGCCCUUCGGGGAAAGAUUUAUCGCCAUUGGAGCAGCCCGCGUUGGAUUAGGUAGUUGGUGAGGUAAAGGCUCACCAAGCCUACGAUCCAUAGCUGGUCGAGAGGAUG